Ailuropoda melanoleuca (giant panda) is the source of this 107-nucleotide small nuclear RNA. The record is from Ensembl. Lineage: Eukaryota; Metazoa; Chordata; Mammalia; Carnivora; Ursidae.
GCGCUCAACUCGGCAGCAUAUAUACUAAAAUUAGAGCAAUCCAGAGAAAAUUAGCAUGGCCUCUUCACAAGGAAGCCAUGUAAAUUUGUAAAGAGUUUCAUAUUUUA